AGCGGCGGACGGGUGAGUAAUGCCUAGGAAAUUGCCCUGAUGUGGGGGAUAACCAUUGGAAACGAUGGCUAAUACCGCAAACGCCUACGGGCCAAAGAGGGGGACCUUCGGGCCUCUCGCGUCAGGAUAUGCCUAGGUGGGAUUAGCUAGUUGGUGAGGUAAGGGCUCACCAAGGCGACGAUCCCUAGCUGGUCUGAGAGGAUGAUCAGCCACACUGGAACUGAGACACGGUCCAGACUCCUACGGGAGGCAGCAGUGGGGAAUAUUGCACAAUGGGCGCAAGCCUGAUGCAGCCAUGCCGCGUGUGUGAAGAAGGCCUUCGGGUUGUAAAGCACUUUCAGUCGUGAGGAAGGUAGUGUAGUUAAUAGCUGCAUUAUUUGACGUUAGCGACAGAAGAAGCACCGGCUAACUCCGUGCCAGCAGCCGCGGUAAUACGGAGGGUGCGAGCGUUAAUCGGAAUUACUGGGCGUAAAGCGCAUGCAGGUGGUUUGUUAAGUCAGAUGUGAAAGCCCGGGGCUCAACCUCGGAAUUGCAUUUGAAACUGGCAGACUAGAGUACUGUAGAGGGGGGUAGAAUUUCAGGUGUAGCGGUGAAAUGCGUAGAGAUCUGAAGGAAUACCGGUGGCGAAGGCGGCCCUCUGGACAGAUACUGACACUCAGAUGCGAAAGCGUGGGGAGCAAACAGGAUUAGAUACCCUGGUAGUCCACGCCCUAAACGAUGUCUACUUGGAGGUUGUGGCCUUGAGCCGUGGCUUUCGGAGCUAACGCGUUAAGUAGACCGCCGGGGGAGUACGGUCGCAAGAUUAAAACUCAGAUGAAUUGACGGGCGCCCGCACAAGCGGUGGAGCAUGUGGUUUAAUUCGAUGCAACGCGAAGAACCUUACCUACUCUAGACAUCCAGAGAACUUUCCAGAGAUGGAUUGGUGCCUUCGGGAACUCUGAAACAGGUGCUGCAUGGCUGUCGUCAGCUCGUGUUGUGAAAUGUUGGGUUAAGUCCCGCACGAUCGCACCCUUAUCCUUGUUUGCCGGCAAUUAUGGUGGGAACUCCGGGAAACGCCCGUGAAUAACCGGAGAAAGGUGGGGCCAACUCCCUUCUUCCGGGCCCUUCCCAUAGGGGUCCCC
This 1121-nucleotide ribosomal RNA is filed under the name Vibrio sp. RNAcentral describes it as "bacterial SSU rRNA". It matches the Rfam family "Bacterial small subunit ribosomal RNA", at positions 94 to 1219 of the family's 1533-position model. The record is from RNAcentral. Lineage: Bacteria; Pseudomonadati; Pseudomonadota; Gammaproteobacteria; Vibrionales; Vibrionaceae.